GGGAAUCUACCUUUUGCUACGGAAUAACUCAGGGAAACUUGUGCUAAUACCGUAUGUGCCCUUCGGGGGAAAGAUUUAUCGGCAAAGGAUGAGCCCGCGUUGGAUUAGGUAGUUGGUGGGGUAAUGGCCUACCAAGCCGACGAUCCAUAGCUGGUCUGAGAGGAUGAUCAGCCACAUUGGGACUGAGACACGGCCCAAACUCCUACGGGAGGCAGCAGUGGGGAAUAUUGGACAAUGGGCGCAAGCCUGAUCCAGCCAUGCCGCGUGAGUGAUGAAGGCCCUAGGGUUGUAAAGCUCUUUCACCGGUGAAGAUAGUGACGGUAACCGGAGAAGAAGCCCCGGCUAACUUCGUGCCAGCAGCCGCGGUAAUACGAAGGGGGCUAGCGUUGUUCGGAAUUACUGGGCGUAAAGCGCACGUAGGCGGAUACUUAAGUUAGGGGUGAAAUCCCAGGGCUCAACCCUGGAACUGCCUUUAAUACUGGGUAUCUUGAGUUCGAGAGAGGUGAGUGGAAUUCCGAGU
Molecule: ribosomal RNA, 520 nt
Filed under: uncultured bacterium
Lineage: Bacteria
Description: bacterial SSU rRNA
Rfam family: Bacterial small subunit ribosomal RNA
Source: RNAcentral